AACGACUCUCGGCAACGGAUAUCUCGGCUCACGCAUCGAUGAAGAACGUAGCAAAAUGCGAUACUUGGUGUGAAUUGCAGAAUCCCGUGAACCAUCGAGUUUUUGAACGCAAGUUGCGCCAGAAGCCAUCCGGCUGACGGCACGCCUGCCUGGGCGUCACGCA
RNAcentral lists this ribosomal RNA (163 nucleotides) under Urospermum picroides. RNAcentral describes it as "5.8S ribosomal RNA". It matches the Rfam family "5.8S ribosomal RNA". From Rfam's summary of the family: 5.8S ribosomal RNA (5.8S rRNA) is a component of the large subunit of the eukaryotic ribosome. The record is from RNAcentral. Lineage: Eukaryota; Viridiplantae; Streptophyta; Magnoliopsida; Asterales; Asteraceae.